UCUCGUUAUAUCUGACGUCGGGGAA
Molecule: microRNA, 25 nt
Filed under: Acyrthosiphon pisum (pea aphid)
Lineage: Eukaryota; Metazoa; Arthropoda; Insecta; Hemiptera; Aphididae
Description: api-miR-3022
Source: miRBase by way of RNAcentral